GUUACAAGAUAACAAGGAGAAAGUGAAAGUGAAAGAAUCCUUACCCUCUAAGAUUUCUACUUUUGAUGAUGCCGGUAAAGCCAGUAUUGAAAGCGGGGACUUAACUUCAAGUUCGUCGUCCUCGUCCUUUGAGAAAUUUGUCAUCAACGUUGAACAAUCAGUCAAUAUCUCUCUCACGAAUUCUGUGAUAAAGAUACUUGAUACUUUGUACCAUGAUCGGGAUUAUGCAAGGUUUUUUGUUCUUGAAACAAUUGCCAGGGUUCCUUAUUUUGCUUGUUCUUCAACAAACCUGAUUUGCUGUGAUCUUAACAAUACAACUCCAUUUCCUGCACUACAUAUUAACUUGUAGGUGAGUUGAUUCCACAAGUUUUACCCAAAAAUCCACAUAACAUGAGUUGAUUCCACAAGUUUUACCCAAGUUGCAUUUUAGGACUACUUGGAUUUCAAAAUGAGGAAUAUAAUGGGAGCUUGCCUAAUUUGGUCUAUAGGCCAUACUCAUGGACAAAGACAAGUAGCAUUAUGAACAUGUUGAUACAAGCUUCACAUAUGCCAGAUCAGAAUCUGUCACGGCGUAAAGCGACUCAUUGCUAGUUAACCAAACUGAUUAAUUUCUUAGGAAGAUAUAUCUCUACAACUUUAUGGUGUUUUUACUGCAUACUCACAAAUGG
Molecule: non-coding RNA, 668 nt
Organism: Arachis ipaensis
Lineage: Eukaryota; Viridiplantae; Streptophyta; Magnoliopsida; Fabales; Fabaceae
Source: RefSeq, a predicted model, not a curated record